RNAcentral lists this ribosomal RNA (460 nucleotides) under uncultured bacterium. RNAcentral's name for it is "partial 16S ribosomal RNA". It matches the Rfam family "Bacterial small subunit ribosomal RNA", at positions 338 to 795 of the family's 1533-position model. The record is from RNAcentral.
CCUACGGGAGGCAGCAGUGAGGAAUAUUGGUCAAUGGCCGAGAGGCUGAACCAGCCAAGUAGCGUGAGGGAUGACUGUCCUAUGGAUUGUAAACUUCUUUUAUAAGGGAAUAAAACGAGGCACGUGUGCCGUUUUGCGUGUACUUGAUGAAUAAGGAUCGGCUAACUCCGUGCCAGCAGCCGCGGUAAUACGGAGGAUCCGAGCGUUAUCCGGAUUUAUUGGGUUUAAAGGGAGCCUAGAUGGGUUGUUAAGUCAGUUGUGAAAGUUUGCGGCUCAAACGUGAACGUGCAAUUGAUACUGGCAGUCUUGAGUACAGUUGAGGUAUGCGGAAUUCGUGGUGUAGCGGUGAAAUGCUUAGAUAUCACGCAGAACCCCGAUUGCGAAGGCAGCUUACCAACCUGUGACUGACAUUGAUGCACGAAAGUGUGGGUAUCGAACAGGAUUAGAUACCCUUGUAGUC